GCCUUCGUGGUGUAACGGUUAGCACACUCGGCGCAUAUUAGAGAGAUCCAGGUUCGAGUCCCGGCGAGGGUA
Non-coding RNA from Stegodyphus mimosarum, 72 nucleotides. NCBI's taxonomy places the organism in Eukaryota, Metazoa, Arthropoda, Arachnida, Araneae, Eresidae. The record is from Rfam.